AUUGAACGCUGGCGGAAUGCUUUACACAUGCAAGUCGAACGGUAGAGGGGGCAAUCCUGGUGGCGAGUGGCGAACGGGUGAGUAAUAUAUCGGAACGUGCCCAGUCGUGGGGAUAACGUAGCGAAAGCUACGCUAAUACCGCAUACGAUCUAUGGAUGAAAGCGGGGGAUCGCAAGACCUCGCGCGAUUGGAGCGGCCGAUAUCAGAUUAGGUAGUUGGUGAGGUAAAGGCUCACCAAGCCGACGAUCUGUAGCUGGUCUGAGAGGACGACCAGCCACACUGGGACUGAGACACGGCCCAGACUCCUACGGGAGGCAGCAGUGGGGAAUUUUGGACAAUGGGCGCAAGCCUGAUCCAGCAAUGCCGCGUGCAGGAUGAAGGCCUUCGGUUGUAAACUGCUUUGUACGGUAACGAACGGUGAGCUCUAAUACAGUUUGCUAAUGACGGUACCGUAAGAAUAAGACACCGGCUAACUACGUA
This 480-nucleotide ribosomal RNA is filed under the name uncultured bacterium. Its description in RNAcentral is "bacterial SSU rRNA". It matches the Rfam family "Bacterial small subunit ribosomal RNA", at positions 30 to 507 of the family's 1533-position model. The record is from RNAcentral.